This 321-nucleotide long non-coding RNA is filed under the name Vombatus ursinus (common wombat). RNAcentral describes it as "lncRNA (ENSVURG00010017271.1)". Lineage: Eukaryota; Metazoa; Chordata; Mammalia; Diprotodontia; Vombatidae. The record is from RNAcentral.
AAGAUUAUAUUCCAAUUUCUUCUUUUGUUUCUUGUUAAAUGGUUUUAAAUGGUUUGUUUUUUCCCCAUUGGUAGGUAAACGACUUUCUCCUGUCUGCAGUAUUUUUGUUUGAUGAUGAAGGUCUGAAGUUUGAUUGCUAUGUUUCUUGGCCAUCUAUUAAGGGUAACGUCGUUGAACUUAAGGGGUGAAUUUUGUGGACUAAAAAUAGAAGCCAUAUUUUCAUUUUUAAGGGAAUAUAUCUAGCAGUGGGAUCACUGACUCAAAGGGAAUUCAUCAUAAAUUUUAAAUAAAUAAGCAAAGGCCCUGAGUGAGUAAAAUACU